Molecule: small nuclear RNA, 107 nt
Filed under: Octodon degus (degu)
Lineage: Eukaryota; Metazoa; Chordata; Mammalia; Rodentia; Octodontidae
Source: RNAcentral
GUGCUUGCUUCAGCAGUACAUAUACUAAAAUAGGAACAGUACAGAGAAGACUAGCAUGGACCCUGCACAAGGAUGACACGCAAAUUCAUGAAGCGAAUAUAUAAUAU